RNAcentral lists this ribosomal RNA (468 nucleotides) under uncultured bacterium. Its description in RNAcentral is "partial 16S ribosomal RNA". It matches the Rfam family "Bacterial small subunit ribosomal RNA", at positions 28 to 507 of the family's 1533-position model. The record is from RNAcentral.
GACGAACGCUGGCGGCGCGCCUAACACAUGCAAGUCGAACGGAGUCAAGAGGAGCUUGCUUUUCUUGACUUAGUGGCGAACGGGUGAGUAACGCGUGAGUAACCUGCCCUGGAGUGGGGGACAACAGUUGGAAACGACUGCUAAUACCGCAUAAGCCCACGGAUCUGCAUGGAUCUGCGGGAAAAGGAUUUAUUCGCUCUAGGAUGGACUCGCGUCCAAUUAGCUAGUUGGUGAGGUAACGGCCCACCAAGGCGACGAUUGGUAGCCGGACUGAGAGGUUGAACGGCCACAUUGGGACUGAGACACGGCCCAGACUCCGACGGGAGGCAGCAGUGGGGGAUAUUGCACAAGGGGGGAAACCCUGAUGCAGCGACGCCGCGUGGAGGAAGAAGGUUGUCGGAUUGUAAACUCCUGUCGUUAGGGACGAUAAUGACGGUACCUAACAAGAAAGCACCAGCUAACUACGUG